Molecule: ribosomal RNA, 309 nt
Filed under: uncultured bacterium
Lineage: Bacteria
Description: partial 16S ribosomal RNA
Rfam family: Bacterial small subunit ribosomal RNA
Source: RNAcentral
AGAGACAGCAGUCGCCGCGGUAAUACGAAGGGUGCAAGCGUUAAUCGGAAUUACUGGGCGUAAAGCGUGCGUAGGCGGCUUGGUAAGUUAGAGGUGAAAGCCUGGAGCUCAACUCCAGAAUUGCCUUUAAGACUGCCGAGCUAGCAGGUGAGAGAGGUAAGUGGAAUUCCGAGUGUAGAGGUGAAAUUCGUAGAUAUUCGGAAGAACACCAGUGGCGAAGGCGGCUUACUGGCUCAUACUGGACGCUGAGGUGCGAAAGCGUGGGGAGCAAACAGGAUUAGAUACCCCCGUAGUCCCUGUCUCUUAUAC